This is a long non-coding RNA of Biomphalaria glabrata, 4132 nucleotides long. RefSeq lists it as uncharacterized. Lineage: Eukaryota; Metazoa; Mollusca; Gastropoda; Planorbidae. The transcript is spliced from 2 exons. The record is from RefSeq and is a predicted model, not a curated record.
CAGUGUUGUGCAAGGGUUAUUAAUUAGUUUAAUAGAUGUUAUCAAAGCUCACCGAUAGACUUGACAGAGACCAGACAAAGGUUAGGACAAUGUCAGUUAGGUGUUUGUCUUGUAGAGAGACUGAUAUGUGGGUCGGGACAGACAUUAGCAAUGUUAGUUUAGGCGUAGGCUAGAUACUCAGCCUAUAUAGAGUAGAGUUUGGGGCAAUCGGGACACAACGCCAUGUAGUUUUAGCAGGGGCGUGUGUCAUGUAGUGUUAGCAGGGGCGUGUGUCAUGUAGUGUUAGCAGGGGCGUGUGUCAUGUAGUGUUAGCAGGGGCGUGUGUCGUGUGCGAGGCGUUCUCUGGUGAACGACACAUACAGACAUUGGGAGCAAGUCGCCGAGGUUGGCUCGCGAUCUUGGCUCCAAGAGGUGUGAGUUGUUUGCCAGAGACAACAUGUAGGAACUUUAAUUCUUAAGGACCAGGAGUGACAGUCUUGGCGACUGUCUGAGUCUUAGUGACAUUCUGACGGUCAGAGACGGUAGAUCUAUAUAUGGUGUAUCUUUGCCUGCUACUCAAGGGGAUAUCACUCUAGUAUUGAGCGGACUGUGACGUUGGGUUCCAGGAUCCGUGCAGAGACUAGAGAGAGAGAGAGAGAGAGAGAGAGACAAGAGAAAUGGAGAGUUCAUCGUGACCUACAGCCAAGUAUCAAUAUCUAUGUGAUUAUUAAAUUUUAAUUCUAGAAUCACAUGAGUAUUAUAUGUAAUUAUAGUUGUUAAUUAAAUAUUUAUUUUUCUUAUGAAAAUUUGUGUCCAGAGAUCAUGAUUUAUAUCAUUAUUGAAUAUUGUGGUCUUUAAUCCAUAGUAUUUUGUGAUGCGUGUGUUGUAUCAGUUAAAUUACAUCAGUAAGAAUCAUCCUAGACGUAUAGACAUCAAGAGCUGAUAUCAAGAUCUUGACAAUUGGGGCCUCGUCUAAAGUUUUAUUUUAAUUUUCUACGACACUUUAAUGAUGUCUGGGGGCUAAUGAAUAACUGGGACCUGUUAUUUUUCUUUAAGUGAAAAUACUUUAGUUAUACUUGAUAUAGUAUUGACAUUUAUUUUUUUAUCCAUCAUAGUAUUGAGAAAAUUGUAUUUUGCUUGUAAAGGUUUGGACGAAUAUUCACUGCUUAGAAUUAGCAUUAAGUAGAGUUUCUGUUUACACUUGUAAUACCAUGAUUGUAUUUUUCAAGAUUUUUUUUUUUUCUACAUUUUGUUUUCUGCCUAGCAUUUGUUGUGGUACAGGUGAAUUGGCUGUUUGGCAGUGGACGUCACACAUGAUCUAUUUUUAGACUGUCACUCCUGAUUCCUGCGCCCAUUGUCUUGGGGCCUUCGUGUAUCCACGGUUUGAGGGUAACGUAGUUAUCUUCAGCGCGUGUUUUUUCAAUGUUUAGGUAAGCUGUAUGAUGUAGUGAGAUAGGUGUAAGUUUUCUUGUUUUUAUUUUUGAUAGGGAGCUUAGGGAUUUCAUAGAGGUGGGAUAGAAAGAGGUGGACAUUAUUUUUAAAGCAUAAUUACUGCACUGGGCAGUGUUACAUUUAUACUGUGCUUAUACUGUGUUUUUUGCAGGCAGACAGGGGCGAGUUAUUGUUUGGAGAAGGUAGAAGGGGGUUGGACCUGUAUGUUCGCGUUGGGCAAACGUAUAGUGUCGUUGUCCUCAGUUAUUUUUUUUUCUUGCUUUUUAGCUUGUUAAGUUUUGUAGAUGGUUAGCCAGGUGAGCAGUACUGUUGGCCAGUUGUUUUUUUUGUUGCCAUUUUGGUGUUUUGAUAGGCGGGAUAGGGGGUUUGAGAGACAGACAAUGGCGUUGGGUCAUGUAGUGUCUACCCCACCCAUGUAUUUUAGUAAUGCCUAUCAAACCUUGUAGUUGUUAAUGGAAGUUUUGGAAUUUCGUUUCCAGUGCCAUGCCAGAGGGCAGGGACAUUUGUUUUUCUUCUCCCUCUUAGUUGAGGUCGAGCGUUGAUUUUUUUUACCUGGUGUGUCCUUGUUGUACGGAUUCAUGGUAGUUAAGUCACAGGGUGACGUAAUGAUUUUUUGUUGUUGCGGCAAGAGUUGUUUUUUUUUACAGUGGGUCUCGAGUUUUGUUGGGCCUGGUUUCAGUUUUUUGUAUGCCGUCUAUUUUUUUUGCUUGAACGUGUUGAUGAUAGUUGGCUAUAGCUCUAUAUAGAAUAUCCGACAUUAGGUAUGUCGUGGAUUUUUUUAUUUCAGUGAGAUGUUGCUGUGUUGACAGAUCAUCAGUUUAUCAAGGUCAUUUGAUUAGUUUGUUCAACGUUUGAUAUUACUAAGAUGUUAAAGUUUAGGCCUGACGAGCUUGAAUUGGUAUUGAUUUUUUUUUUACAUAGAUUUUUUUUUGUUGGCAAAUAUUUGAGCUUUAGCUGAGUUAUGGCGAUUAAUGUACACGCUAUCUAGGUAGUUCAGAAAAUUGACGUUUUAGGACAUUUGUAUCCAAGGUGGAACAUGAGUUGUUUGUUGAAGAGUCAAGUGAGUCCUUCUAAUGGGGGAGGGUGCAUAACAGACACUGAAGUAAAUGACAAAGCGUUGUUUUUUUUUCUACGACAUGUGUGAUGGACACUGGCAAUGAGUACAGCCAUUUUACAAUUUCUAUUCUAUUAUAGGGAUGCUAAUGAAUUUUGUAUUUUCAUUUUAUUAUCAUUAUGUUUUAGUUACUUAUAUAUUGAAUUAUACUGUUCUAUAUUUAGGUCGAAAAUAAGAUGCAAGUGGAGCUUGCAAUCCGAAAAACUUUGUCCAUGAUUAGAUGAUAUCAUUUUUCUUACUUUUAGUUUUAUAUUAAUUCGUGUUUUACUUGCACUCAAGAUUUGAUUGGCAGAAUUGCAUGUUCACUUUGAUGUAUAUUUUUUUUGUAAAUCUACUUGCAGAGAUUCAUGACUAUAUUAUUUGAUGUUUAAAGUUGAAGUUUGUGACAGUUGCAGUGCAGAUAUAUGAGAUGACGAUGUUCACAUGUUUGUUUUGAUUUUUUUUUCUUCUUAAUUACAACCACUUUGUUUAUGAUUUUAUAAUCUUAUUCCAGUGUGCUACAGUUGCCUAAAGACUUUGGUUAGCAAUGCUGCAUGUGUUCUAUAACAUUAUUUUUAUGUCUCAAUAUAGUUCCAGAAUUUGUUCUCCAAAUGUGAGAUGGUAGAGGCAGUUUAGUGAGUCGUAUUAGUGUGACUUUGGUUGCAAAUAUUGCAACAAAAGUCAAAGGAGAAGGGGAAGAUGUCACAGUGUUGUGCAAGGGUUAUUAAUUAGUUUAAUAGAUGUUAUCAAAGCUCACCGAUAGACUUGACAGAGACCAGACAAAGGUUAGGACAAUGUCAGUUAGGUGUUUGUCUUGUAGAGAGACUGAUAUGUGGGUCGGGACAGACAUUAGCAAUGUUAGUUUAGGCGUAGGCUAGAUACUCAGCCUAUAUAGAGUAGAGUUUGGGGCAAUCGGGACACAACGCCAUGUAGUUUUAGCAGGGGCGUGUGUCAUGUAGUGUUAGCAGGGGCGUGUGUCAUGUAGUGUUAGCAGGGGCGUGUGUCAUGUAGUGUUAGCAGGGGCGUGUGUCGUGUGCGAGGCGUUCUCUGGUGAACGACACAUACAGACAUUGGGAGCAAGUCGCCGAGGUUGGCUCGCGAUCUUGGCUCCAAGAGGUGUGAGUUGUUUGCCAGAGACAACAUGUAGGAACUUUAAUUCUUAAGGACCAGGGUAAGAAGAAAUGUUUUUAUUAGUUAUAUAUCUAGUAUUAGAUGUUAAUUGAUUAUGAAUAAAUAGAAUGGCGCUUUAGCUAGUUGUUAGCGAUAUUUUUGAUUAUUUGUCUAUUUAGAGUGACAGUCUUGGCGACUGUCUGAGUCUUAGUGACAUUCUGACGGUCAGAGACGGUAGAUCUAUAUAUGGUGUAUCUUUGCCUGCUACUCAAGGGGAUAUCACUCUAGUAUUGAGCGGACUGUGACGUUGGGUUCCAGGAUCCGUGCAGAGACUAGAGAGAGAGAGAGAGAGAGAGAGAGACAAGAGAAAUGGAGAGUUCAUCGUGACCUACAGCCAAGUAUCAAUAUCUAUGUGAUUAUUAAAUUUUAAUUCUAGAAUCACAUGAGUAUUAUAUGUAAUUAUAGUUGUUAAUUAAAUAUUUAUUUUUCUUAUGAAAA